RNAcentral lists this ribosomal RNA (220 nucleotides) under Cronobacter turicensis 564. Its description in RNAcentral is "Large Subunit Ribosomal RNA; lsuRNA; LSU rRNA". It matches the Rfam family "Bacterial large subunit ribosomal RNA", at positions 2394 to 2613 of the family's 2925-position model. Lineage: Bacteria; Pseudomonadati; Pseudomonadota; Gammaproteobacteria; Enterobacterales; Enterobacteriaceae. The record is from RNAcentral.
CAGGUGCGAAAGCAGGUCAUAGUGAUCCGGUGGUUCUGUAUGGAAGGGCCAUCGCUCAACGGAUAAAAGGUACUCCGGGGAUAACAGGCUGAUACCGCCCAAGAGUUCAUAUCGACGGCGGUGUUUGGCACCUCGAUGUCGGCUCAUCACAUCCUGGGGCUGAAGUAGGUCCCAAGGGUAUGGCUGUUCGCCAUUUAAAGUGGUACGCGAGCUGGGUUUA